CAAGCAGCAUGAGGGAGGGAGGAGAGACAGAGGCAGCACCACGCAGAGCCAUUGGAAAACCUGUUUGGAUAUGUUGCUAAUCCAUACCCAGGAGUACAGCAGAACCAAUUUUACCUUGCUCCAUCAGACAUAAGUGGGACUAUAGUAGCCCCAAAGUAGCACUGAAUCACUUGCCGUUCAGUUUAUACAGACAUUCCCAGGUCCACCAACGAUCCUGGCACAGUGUGAAAAAUGACUCAAUGACCUACUCCACUCCACCAGGGGAUGGCAAAGAUUGGAAGAGACAGAACCUGUCAUAAGUAGAAGACCUUCUCCUUUAUUCCAUGCUAAUUCUAAUUCAG
Long non-coding RNA from Carcharodon carcharias (great white shark), 341 nucleotides. RefSeq lists it as uncharacterized. The transcript is spliced from 3 exons. The record is from RefSeq and is a predicted model, not a curated record. Lineage: Eukaryota; Metazoa; Chordata; Chondrichthyes; Lamniformes; Lamnidae.